RNAcentral lists this ribosomal RNA (497 nucleotides) under uncultured bacterium. RNAcentral's name for it is "partial 16S ribosomal RNA". It matches the Rfam family "Bacterial small subunit ribosomal RNA", at positions 28 to 507 of the family's 1533-position model. The record is from RNAcentral.
GAUGAACGCUGGCGGCGUGCCUAAUACAUGCAAGUCGAGCGAACGGACGAGAAGCUUGCUUCUCUGAUGUUAGCGGCGGACGGGUGAGUAACACGUGGAUAACCUACCUAUAAGACUGGGAUAACUUCGGGAAACCGGAGCUAAUACCGGAUAAUAUUUUGAACCGCAUGGUUCAAAAGUGAAAGACGGUCUUGCUGUCACUUAUAGAUGGAUCCGCGCUGCAUUAGCCAGUUGGUAAGGUAACGGCUUACCAAGGCAACGAUGCAUAGCCGACCUGAGAGGGUGAUCGGCCACACUGGAAGUGAGACACGGUCCAGACUACUACGGGAGGCAGCAGUAGGGAAUCUUCCGCAAUGGGCGAAAGCCUGACGGAGCAACGCCGCGUGAGUGAUGAAGGUCUUCGGAUCGUAAAACUCUGUUAUUAGGGAAGAACAUAUGUGUAAGUAACUGUGCACAUCUUGACGGUACCUAAUCAGAAAGCCACGGCUAACUACGUG